This 459-nucleotide ribosomal RNA is filed under the name uncultured bacterium. Its description in RNAcentral is "partial 16S ribosomal RNA". It matches the Rfam family "Bacterial small subunit ribosomal RNA", at positions 338 to 795 of the family's 1533-position model. The record is from RNAcentral.
CCUACGGGUGGCAGCAGUGAGGAAUAUUGGUCAAUGGCCGCAGGGCUGAACCAGCCAAGUCGCGUGAGGGAUGACGGUCCUAUGGAUUGUAAACCUCUUUUGUCAGGGAGCAAAGGGCGCCACGUGUGGCGUUUUGCGAGUACCUGAAGACAAAGCAUCGGCUAACUCCGUGCCAGCAGCCGCGGUAAUACGGAGGGUGCGAGCGGUGUCCGGAUGUAUUGGGUUAAACGGGUGCGCAGGGGGAAUGGAAAGUCAGCGGUAAAAUUUCGGGGCUCAACCCCGUCGUGCCGUUGAAACUGGCGUUCUUGAGUGAGCGAGAGGUAUGCGGAAUGCGUGGUGUAGCGGUGAAAUGCAUAGAUAUCACGCAGAACUCCGAUUGCGAAGGCAGCAUACCGGCGCUCAACUGACGCUCAGGCACGAAAGCGUGGGUAUCGAACAGGAUUAGAUACCCUAGUAGUC